GUACGCUGGCGGCACGCCUAACACAUGCAAGUCGAACGAAGUAGCAAUACUUAGUGGCAGACGGGUGAGUAACAUGUGGGUAUCUGCCCUUUGGCCUGGAAUAACACGAGGAAACUUGUGCUAAUACCGGAUAAGUCUUUACGGAGAAAGCUUUAUGCACCAUUGGAUGAGCCCGCACUUGAUUAGUUUGUUGGUAGGGUAAUGGCCUACCAAGACUGUGAUCAAUAGCUGAUUUGAGAGGAUGAUCAGCCACAUUGGGACUGAGACACGGCCCAAACUCCUACGGGAGGCAGCAGUGGGGAAUCUUGCACAAUGGAGGAAACUCUGAUGCAGCGAUGCCGCGUGAGUGAAGAAGGCCUUUGGGUUGUAAAGCUCUUUCGUCGGGGAAGAAAAUGACUGUACCCGAAUAAGAAGGUCCGG
Molecule: ribosomal RNA, 420 nt
Filed under: uncultured bacterium
Lineage: Bacteria
Description: bacterial SSU rRNA
Rfam family: Bacterial small subunit ribosomal RNA
Source: RNAcentral